This 67-nucleotide transfer RNA is filed under the name Plecotus macrobullaris. RNAcentral's name for it is "tRNA-Lys". It matches the Rfam family "tRNA". From Rfam's summary of the family: Transfer RNA (tRNA) molecules are approximately 80 nucleotides in length. Lineage: Eukaryota; Metazoa; Chordata; Mammalia; Chiroptera; Vespertilionidae. The record is from RNAcentral.
CAUUAAGAAGCUAAUCAGCACUAACCUUUUAAGUUAGAGAAUGGGAGUUUAAACCUCUCCUUAAUGA